Felis catus (domestic cat) is the source of this 1387-nucleotide long non-coding RNA. RefSeq lists it as uncharacterized. The transcript is spliced from 4 exons. NCBI's taxonomy places the organism in Eukaryota, Metazoa, Chordata, Mammalia, Carnivora, Felidae. The record is from RefSeq and is a predicted model, not a curated record.
UGUUGCAGCCGGAAGAGAUCUCCUGAGAAAGUCUGCUUUGCUUGAAGAGUGUUUAAUAGACAGAAGGUGCUUCCUUUCUAGGAGCUGAAAUUUACCUUCUAACCAUUCCUUUCAGUCCAAUGAAGAUUCCCUACUGCAAGAAGGGUGUAGGAAUACCACAAAAAGGCUUAUGCAAUACAAGAUGCCUGCUGCCCUUCUAGGAAGAACCUCUUACUGAAAUGAAAGAAACAAGACCAACCAGAUGACAUUGCCUGCUGGCGGAGGGAGGAUGCAGACUAGCAGGAAGAAAACCAUACUAGCUCUCCCAGGGUGAUGUCCAUCUCCAAAAAAUGAACAUUUCAUGUGAUGUCCCAUAACUGCUCCUUGCUCUGGUCUAUCUUCGUUUUAAUUAAAACUCAGAUGUUCACUAUCCUCACAUUAGCCCAUAUUUGGCCUCUACCAAUUGGUUGAAAUUUUUGGCUGAGUCAUUCUUACUGGACUGUGUGGUGUUAAGACAGUAAGUGCUCAUACCUUGUCUUUCCUUGAAGGUUCCUGUGUUUCCUUAGAUUUCAGGUUAGUUACCCUGAGAUCUUAACUUCAAAAGUAGUUGUGGGUUCAAAAGUAGUUGUGAAUAUAUUGAGUAUCUGAAUGUUUUUAUUAUUUUAAGGCUGGGAGUGAUGUGCUUUUCUGCUUUGUACACCCUCAACAGAACCCAAAACUUCACUCUUCUGUUCUGAAGAAGGUCAAAGCCAAAUUCUAGACUACAAUGUAAUUAUCCUAUAGAAAUUUGUGGUUUCACUUUUAUAUUUGGCCUCAUUUUUAUUGUGUUGCAUAUAUUUUUUUUUAAAAUAACCUCAAACCUUUUAAGAAAUUUCUGCCUAAUAAACAAAAAGAUAGGUAGGAAGGUCUAUCUGCUUUUCUGUCACCUCCCUUUUAAGAGAAUUCUAGCUUUCCCACUUAGUUUCUCUUCUUUUUUCCUUUUGCCUAUGCUUUUAUUUGAAAUAAGGACCCAAGAAGAAAAGGAAAGCAAAGAGGGACAGUAGCAUGCAGAUUAGAGUUAAAGUAGAGGUUUUUAAUAGUCAUUAAAAAUGAAACACAGAAACAUCUUGAAUGUGCGAAUAAAAAAAAAGGGAGAAAAAGGAGAACUUAAAUGAGUACUGCUGUGGAACGUGUAUUCUUGCAUGAGUAUAAUGAGAGACAAAUAAAGACAUUAUUUUAAAGGUUCUUUUUGGCUGAGAGAUUUUUUUCUGUUACGUGAGAUGAGGCCAUGCACGUCAUGCAAUGGCUUUAUCAUAUCAUAUAAAAAAUGUUUGGGGAUUUUGUGAAAGAUUGUUAAAACAAUCCAAAGAUUUCUUUCAUCUUUAACAUAUAUUGUUCUGCAUUGUUUUAUAAAAUAUAUAAUAUUCCC